This is a small nuclear RNA of Dromiciops gliroides (monito del monte), 107 nucleotides long. The record is from RefSeq and is a predicted model, not a curated record. Lineage: Eukaryota; Metazoa; Chordata; Mammalia; Microbiotheria; Microbiotheriidae.
GUGCUCACUUCGGCAGCACAUAUACUAAAAUUGUAAUGAUACAGAGAAGAUUAGCAUGGCCCUGUGCAAGGAUGAGGAUGACAUGCAAAUUCAUGAAAAAUGAUGUG